This 207-nucleotide ribosomal RNA is filed under the name uncultured bacterium. Its description in RNAcentral is "partial 16S ribosomal RNA". It matches the Rfam family "Bacterial small subunit ribosomal RNA", at positions 568 to 774 of the family's 1533-position model. The record is from RNAcentral.
CGCGUAGGCGGUCUGCUAAGUUGGAUGUGAAAACUCUGGGCUUAACCCAGAGCCUGCAUUCAAUACUGACAGGCUAGAGUUCUGGAGGGGAUAGCGGAAUUCCUGGUGUAGCGGUGAAAUGCGUAGAUAUCAGGAGGAACACCGGUGGCGAAGGCGGCUAUCUGGACAGAGUCUGACGCUGAGGCGCGAAAGCUAGGGGAGCAAACA